This 909-nucleotide small RNA is filed under the name Pongo abelii (Sumatran orangutan). RNAcentral's name for it is "processed transcript". Lineage: Eukaryota; Metazoa; Chordata; Mammalia; Primates; Hominidae. The record is from RNAcentral.
AGCUUGAUGACUAUAAUGGGCCCAAUUGUCUGCGGGCUGCGGGGAGCUGAGUCCCCAGAUUGGAGGAGGCUGGCUCUGGUCUUGGAUGCACAGGAGUGGCCGUUAUGGAACGCAGCAGCAGCGUGCAGGGUCAAAGACAGCCGGCCCCCCAUGUCAGUGGUCUAGGAUGGCCAGUGAAGGCACCAACAUCCCAAGUCCUGUGGUGCGCCAGAUUGACAAGCAGUUUCUGAUUUGCAGUAUAUGCCUGGAACGGUACAAGAAUCCCAAGGUUCUCCCCUGUCUGCACACUUUCUGCGAGAGGUGCCUGCAGAACUACAUUCCUGCCCACAGUUUAACCCUCUCCUGCCCAGUGUGCCGCCAGACCUCCAUCCUGCCCGAGAAAGGGGUGGCCGCGCUCCAAAACAAUUUCUUCAUCACAAACCUGAUGGACGUGCUGCAGCGAACUCCAGGCAGCAACGUUGAGGAGUCUUCCAUCCUGGAGACAGUCACUGCUGUGGCUGCGGGAAAGCCUCUCUCUUGCCCAAACCACGAUGGGAAUGUCCUCCAGUCGCAGCUGGAUACUCUGCUCCAGGGGCAGGAGAGCAUUAAGAGCUGCAGCAACUUCACAGCGCAGGCCCUCAACCAUGGCACGGAGACCGAGGUCCUACUGGUGAAGAAGCAGAUGAGCGAGAAGCUGAACGAGCUGGCCGACCAGGACUUCCCCUUGCACCCGCGGGAGAACGACCAGCUGGAUUUCAUCGUGGAAACCGAGGGGCUGAAGAAGUCCAUCCACAACCUCGGGACGAUCUUAACCACCAACGCCGUUGCCUCAGAGACGGUGGCCACGGGCGAGGGGCUGCGGCAGACUAUCAUCGGGCAGCCCAUGUCCGUCACCAUCACCACCAAGGACAAAGACGGUGAGCUGUGCAA